CCCAGCAAUGGGAGCGGCAGACGGGAGAGUAACACGUGGGAACGUACCCUUCAGUUCGGAACAACCCAGGGAAACUUGGGCUAAUACCGAAUACGUCCGUAAGGAGAAAGAUUUAUCGCUGAAGGAUCGGCCCGCGUCUGAUUAGCUAGUUGGUGGGGUAAUGGCCCACCGAGGCGACGAUCAGUAGCUGGUCUGAGAGGAUGAUCAGCCUUACUGGGACUGAGACACGGCCCAG
RNAcentral lists this ribosomal RNA (235 nucleotides) under uncultured bacterium. RNAcentral describes it as "partial 16S ribosomal RNA". It matches the Rfam family "Bacterial small subunit ribosomal RNA", at positions 82 to 334 of the family's 1533-position model. The record is from RNAcentral.